Molecule: long non-coding RNA, 410 nt
Filed under: Phasianus colchicus (ring-necked pheasant)
Lineage: Eukaryota; Metazoa; Chordata; Aves; Galliformes; Phasianidae
Description: lncRNA (ENSPCLG00000003323.1)
Source: RNAcentral
GAAAAAUAGUGAAAAGGUACAGCCCCAGGAGGGUCCUCUGCAGCUGGGAGAGCAUCACCCCAGCUGCAAGGGAGCAGAGACAGUAACUCAAAGCUUCUCAGUGAGCUCUUAUGUGUUAUGGAACAGAUGACCAAGAGAAAAAGAAGUGGAUAUAAGCAGGAAAACAAAAGGGGCCCAGAAGUAUGCUCUACUUGCUUAUCUGUUCCAGGCACAAAACACCAGCAUGAUCUACACUUCAAUCAGCAGGGCUGCCUUACUUUGAAGAGUUCACAAUCAAAAGCAAUAGAAGAACAAAUACAAAGCUCACAUGGUUACCAUCUUCAAGUUUUCCCUUCAUCUGAUGGAAAUCUGUACAGGAGGCAGUGUAGUGCCUGCUGUGUUUUAGGACAAAGUAAAAUGUAACAUAAAAU